CGCGCAUGUGCGCCUGCAUGGAGGCCAGGCUGGGACAGCCGGCCCCGCACAGGGAGCAGCGACAAGGAUCACCACAAAACCCAGUCAACGCCGGCACUAAGGGAUGGAGCAUGACACAGUUUCACGGGAGAGCUUAGAAAGCUAGUGGGUCCUCCCCCAAAAGCCCAUCGCUCCUGAAAGGCAGAGAGGGCAGCAUGAUAGGGAUCCUGGCUGCAGGAGCGCAGGCGCUAAGGCAUCCGGCAGUCAUCACUGUGAAGCUGAAGCUUCUAGAACACAUCCUCAGGGAAGGAACCAGACAUUCCCAUCCAGAGAAAGAGGAGAGCAGGUGCAGAAGCCACAGGAGAGGAGGCUCCUGACCCAAUGAUGGAGAGACCUUUUGGAGAAUGGACUCCUGAGGAGAUGGGAGGAAAGGACGUGGGGACUGGAGACAGGGAGGCUGUUUCCUCUCAAGAUUUGGCCCCACAUCAUGUGCUUGUGACUCAGCUCCCCCGCUGGUUUGCUCAUUGAUGAUCGAGAGAGUUGGAGACUGCU
This 531-nucleotide long non-coding RNA is filed under the name Homo sapiens (human). RNAcentral's name for it is "HSALNT0258962". Lineage: Eukaryota; Metazoa; Chordata; Mammalia; Primates; Hominidae. The record is from RNAcentral.